CCUACGGGGGGCUGCAGUGGGGAAUAUUGGACAAUGGGGGGAACCCUGAUCCAGCCAUGCCGCGUGUGUGAAGAAGGCCCUCGGGUUGUAAAGCACUUUCAGUGAGGAAGAACGCCUGGUGGUUAAUACCCAUCAGGAAAGACAUCACUCACAGAAGAAGCACCGGCUAACUCCGUGCCAGCAGCCGCGGUAAUACGGAGGGUGCGAGCGUUAAUCGGAAUUACUGGGCGUAAAGCGCGCGUAGGUGGCUUGAUAAGCCGGUUGUGAAAGCCCCGGGCUCAACCUGGGAACGGCAUCCGGAACUGUCAAGCUAGAGUGCAGGAGAGGAAGGUAGAAUUCCCGGUGUAGCGGUGAAAUGCGUAGAGAUCGGGAGGAAUACCAGUGGCGAAGGCGGCCUUCUGGACUGACACUGACACUGAGGUGCGAAAGCGUGGGUAGCAAACAGGAUUAGAUACUCUGGUAGUC
RNAcentral lists this ribosomal RNA (465 nucleotides) under Vreelandella stevensii. RNAcentral's name for it is "partial 16S ribosomal RNA". It matches the Rfam family "Bacterial small subunit ribosomal RNA", at positions 338 to 795 of the family's 1533-position model. Lineage: Bacteria; Pseudomonadati; Pseudomonadota; Gammaproteobacteria; Oceanospirillales; Halomonadaceae. The record is from RNAcentral.